UUGAAAUGAAAUUGAAUUAAAAAGGAUUAUGAAAUGGUGAUGACAUGAAAUAGUCUUGUUUGAAAUAAUGUGAAGUUUGUAAUUGGAAGUAGUUAAUCAAUUUCUUUUUAACAAAAUUAAUUUAUUAAAAUUUGAUUAAAUUGAUUAAUUAAAUUAAUUAAAAUUAAUUAUCAAAAUUAUUUAACUAAAUUAAAUAAUUAAGUUAAUUAAAAUUGAUUAAUAGAAAUUAAACUAAUUAAAGAUUUUAAUCAAUUAAUUAAGUUCAAAGAGAAAAAAA
RNAcentral lists this long non-coding RNA (277 nucleotides) under Lathyrus oleraceus (garden pea). RNAcentral's name for it is "Pisum sativum (pea) long non-coding RNA (PSAT_LNC029619)". Lineage: Eukaryota; Viridiplantae; Streptophyta; Magnoliopsida; Fabales; Fabaceae. The record is from RNAcentral.